Molecule: transfer RNA, 74 nt
Filed under: Phelsuma madagascariensis (Madagascar day gecko)
Lineage: Eukaryota; Metazoa; Chordata; Lepidosauria; Squamata; Gekkonidae
Description: tRNA-Trp
Source: RNAcentral
AGAAAUUUAGGGAGUAAUAGAACCAGGAGCCUUCAAAGCCUUAGGAAAGUACAUAUGACCCCUUCUAAUUUCUG